GAUGAACGCUGACAGAAUGCUUAACACAUGCAAGUCAACUUGAAUUUGGGUUUUUAACUUAGGUUUGGGUGGCGGACGGGUGAGUAACGCGUAAAGAACUUGCCUCACAGCUAGGGACAACAUUUGGAAACGAAUGCUAAUACCUAAUAUUAUGAUAAUAGGGCAUCCUAUAAUUAUGAAAGCUAUAAGCGCUGUGAGAGAGCUUUGCGUCCCAUUAGCUAGUUGGAGAGGUAACUGCUCACCAAGGCGAUGAUGGGUAGCCGGCCUGAGAGGGUGAUCGGCCACAAGGGGACUGAGACACGGCCCUUACUCCUACGGGAGGCAGCAGUGGGGAAUAUUGGACAAUGGACCAAGAGUCUGAUCCAGCAAUUCUGUGUGCACGAUGAAGUUUUUCGGAAUGUAAAGUGCUUUCAGUUGGGAAGAAAGAAAUGACGGUACCAACAGAAGAAGUGACGGCUAAAUACGUGCCAGCAGCCGCGGUAAUACGUAUGUCACGAGCGUUAUCCGGAUUUAUUGGGCGUAAAGCGCGUCUAGGUGGUUAUAUAAGUCUGAUGUGAAAAUGCAGGGCUCAACUCUGUAUUUGCGUUGGAAACUGUAUAACUAGAGUACUGGAGAGGUAAGCGGAACUACAAGUGUAGAGGUGAAAUUCGUGGAUAUUUGUAGGAAUGCCGAUGGGGAAGCCAGCUUACUGGACAGAUACUGACGCUGAAGCGCGAAAGCGUGGGUAGCAAACAUG
Molecule: ribosomal RNA, 736 nt
Filed under: uncultured Fusobacterium sp.
Lineage: Bacteria; Fusobacteriati; Fusobacteriota; Fusobacteriia; Fusobacteriales; Fusobacteriaceae
Description: bacterial SSU rRNA
Rfam family: Bacterial small subunit ribosomal RNA
Source: RNAcentral